AUUGAACGCUGGCGGCAGGCCUAACACAUGCAAGUCGAGCGGAGCGGAGGACGGGGGAGUAAUGCCUAGGAAUCGGCCGGGUCCUGGGGGAGAACGUUCGGAAAUGGGCGCUAUCACUGCAUCCUAUCGGAUUAGGAUAGGCCGGAUUAGGUAGUUGGUGGGGUAAAGGCCUACCAAGGCGACGAUCCGUAACUGGUCUGAGAGGAUGAUGAGUCACACUGGAACUGAGACACGGUCCAGACUCCUACGGGAGGCAGCAGUGGGGAAUAUUGGACAAUGGGCGAAAGCCUGAUCCAGCCAUGCCGCGUGUGUGAAGAAGGUCUUCGGAUUGUAAAGCACUUUAAGUUGGGAGGCGUUACCAACAGAAUAAGCACCGGCUAACUUCGUGCCAGCAGCCGCGGUAAUUC
This 407-nucleotide ribosomal RNA is filed under the name uncultured bacterium. RNAcentral's name for it is "partial 16S ribosomal RNA". It matches the Rfam family "Bacterial small subunit ribosomal RNA", at positions 30 to 526 of the family's 1533-position model. The record is from RNAcentral.